Limulus polyphemus (Atlantic horseshoe crab) is the source of this 403-nucleotide long non-coding RNA. RefSeq lists it as uncharacterized. The record is from RefSeq and is a predicted model, not a curated record. Lineage: Eukaryota; Metazoa; Arthropoda; Merostomata; Xiphosura; Limulidae. The transcript is spliced from 2 exons.
UUUUUUAAACUUUUAGCUUCGUUAUGAUGAUGAAGUAAAAAGAGUUGUUGCAGAACCAGUUGAAUUGGCCCAAGAGUUCAGAAAGUUUGAUCUAUCAACACCAUGGGAAACAUUUCCUGCCUACAGAGCAGAAAAGAGUCCUGUAGAGGUGAUAGCUGCUCCAAAAGAAUCUAAACCAGAGGAGGAUAAGAAAUGAUUUUCUCUUUCCUGUCGAUAGAACCAGAUUGUAGAGUAUCCCAGAUCACGGUGUGGAAAGGUGACCUACAAUACUUGUAUUUAAUGUUUAAGAUGGUGUGAAAUAGAAGUUGCUUAGGUUAGAAACCUAUAGAGUAAACCCACAUUGUUGAAUUUAGUUUAUUCAUGUUUCAUAAUCUAUACAGCUAAAUAAAAUUUCAAGGUAAAA